Molecule: long non-coding RNA, 322 nt
Organism: Salvia miltiorrhiza (redroot sage)
Lineage: Eukaryota; Viridiplantae; Streptophyta; Magnoliopsida; Lamiales; Lamiaceae
Exons: 3
Source: RefSeq, a predicted model, not a curated record
ACACAACCCCUACUUUAGUCUCACAUUUCUGCUCCCAACACUUCACACUUCUCCUCCAUCUUGCACCAGCGAAUGCAAAGAGCAAAGGGGACUUGUUUGAAUAUUCUGCCAAGACUUCAAGUUCAGUUGAUCCAUCCAACACUGAAGAAGGGUGAAGGAACCCUCAUUCAUUACUCUGACUCAACCAGAAAAAAACUUCAAGAGAUAUUCCACAACACGUUCAAUUCCAACAACAACCCAAUUGUUUGAAAGCAUUCAAGGUCAAGGUCGGGAAUAACAGUCAAUCAAGGAACCACUGAAUCACAGAGAUUUCAUAUCAGGU